Molecule: unclassified non-coding RNA, 253 nt
Filed under: uncultured Bacillaceae bacterium
Lineage: Bacteria; Bacillati; Bacillota; Bacilli; Caryophanales; Bacillaceae
Description: contains 16S-23S intergenic spacer region
Rfam family: Bacterial small subunit ribosomal RNA
Source: RNAcentral
UACGUAGGUGGCAAGCGUUGUCCGGAAUUAUUGGGCGUAAAGCGCGCGCAGGCGGUCUUUUAAGUCUGAUGUGAAAGCCCUCGGCUCAACCGGGGAGGGUCAUUGGAAACUGGGAGACUUGAGUACAGCAGAGGAGAGUGGAAUUCCACGUGUAGCGGUGAAAUGCGUAGAUAUGUGGAGGAACACCAGUGGUGAAGGCGACUCUCUGGUCUGUAACUGACGCUCAUGUACGAAAGCGUGGGGAGCAAACAGG